RNAcentral lists this long non-coding RNA (15063 nucleotides) under Zea mays. Its description in RNAcentral is "long non-coding RNA (ZMAY_LNC004797)". Lineage: Eukaryota; Viridiplantae; Streptophyta; Magnoliopsida; Poales; Poaceae. The record is from RNAcentral.
GGCGUUGACUCGGUUUGUGGCGUGAUCAAACGGAAGAUGGUGGCGGUGCGCUAGGGUUUGAAUGGUGGAAGAAAGUAGGAUGGUGAGAAAAAACACAAUGCGACCAGCAACAAAUGACGCGAAAGCACACAAAUUCAACAAUGCGGAUUAUCGAAAGAAAGUGCGAGGCUCAAAAGGGUGCUAGGAUAAGGUCUAACCUGAAUUUUUAUGUGGUUUUGUGGACUGUAGGAGAAAAAAACACUCGAUAAACUCACCGAUCAACCUGGAAAUUUGAUACCACUUGAUAUAACUGAAGUGCCCGAUCUUUCGGUGAGUGGAGAUAAUUCCGAUUUGGCGGAAGAUGACCCUCACGAUUUGACUACGACGAACAAGCCCGAGGCGCCAAUGCAAUUGCUGAACCAACUCCCUAUGGUUACCGACCUUGCUGAUGCGAGAUCGGCCUGAUCACGAAGAUCGUUUCCUGUGCGCAAUCGAAGAACGAACAAGAAAAAGAUGCAAGAAAUCUAAUUUAUUACUCGAGGGUGGAGUUUUGAAUGCACGAAGAUAGCGCUGAUUUGCGCGUGUUCGAGAGUAGCUAAAGCUAACGUAAAACAAAACUCGAAGAACAAAGGAGGCGCAGCUCCUGGAUAAAUAGAGAGAGAGGCACAGCCCCUAGUGGCGGCCAACCCUAGGUCGUCCACUAUGGGCCACAAUUGGGCUGGUCAUCUAUUCUUCUGGGCCCUCAUUCUUCAGUAGCAUGACGAAGUUAAGAUCUCUGGCACGGGCCUGAGUGAUUGGCCCAGCUAAUGAAGGAAGUGGCGCUUGAUGUGGAGGUGCUGCUGGUGUAGUUGUACUCAUGUUGUAGGUGAUGUCCUCAUCACGUUGCGUGCAAAAUGUGCACUUUUCCAUGUUACCAAACAAGCGAGCAGCAUGCAAAUCAUCAAAAAUAGCACACAAAUGUUCUAAAUGCUCCUCUAUAGACUUGCUGUAAAUAAGGAUAUCAUUGAAAUAAACAAAAACAAACAAACCUAUGAAGGCCCGUAGAACUUCGUUCAUUAAACGCAUAAAGGUGCUGGGAGCAUUAGUCAAUCCAAAUGGCAUAACCAACCAUUCAUAUAAACCAAAUUUCGUUUUAAAAGUCGUUUUCCAUUCAUCAACGAGUUUCAUUCUAAUGUGAUGGUAACCGCUACGCAAAUCAACCUUAGAGAAAAUAACGGCACCACUAAGCUCAUCCAACAUAUCAUCAAGGCGUGGAAUAGGAUAUCGAUUACGAACUGUGAUGUUAUUAAUAGCACGACAAUCUACGCACAUACGCCAUGACCCAUCUUUCUUUGGAACGAGUAAAACAGGAACCGAGCAAGGGCUAAGAGACUCACGAAUGUAACCUUUAUCAAGCAGCGUCUGCACCUGGCGCUGGAUCUCCUUCGUCUCAUCUGGAUUUGUACGAUACGGGGCGCGACUCGGAAGAGAAGCGCCAAGGAUGAGAUCGAUCUGAUGCUCAAUGCCACGGAGCAAAGGAAGACAUGGUGGUAAGUCUGUAGGAAAAACAUCAGCAAACUCCUGCAAAAAGGUUAACAACAAUAGGGGGUAUAUCCAAAGACGGUGCAUCAUCAAGCGGAACAAGCAUGCGCGAGCAUACAAGUGCAUAAAAGGGCAUAUGAGCUUCAUGGAGAUCAUCAAAAUCAGCACGUGUAGCAAAUAAAAUAGGUGAGUGCAACUUGAUUUCGGAUUUAAUAGGUGCGGCUGAUGUCGAUUUGACUUGUUGUGUACUUUUAGCAGCCCUAGUAAGAUCAUCUUUCAAAAUUUUGUCAGGGGUCAUUGGAUGUAUAAUUGUUUUCUGGCCUUUAAACAUGAAAGAAUAAUGAUUUGAACGACCAUGAUGUAAACUAUCAGUAUCAUAUUGCCAAGGUUGACCCAAUAACAAAGAGCAUGCUUCCAUAGGAAUAACAUCGCAAUCAUCAUAAUCAGAAUAAGAACCCAACGAAAAGGGGACACGUACCGAACGUGUUACCUUUAUUUUACCACCAUCAUUAACCCAUUGAAUGUGAUACGGAUGUGGGUGUGCGUGAGUGGGCAAGGAUAAUUUCUCUACCAAAGCUGUACUUGCCAAAUUGUUGCAGCUGCCACUAUCGAUGAUGAUGCGAAUCGAUCGUUCGUGCACAACGCCCUUGGUAUGGAAUAGAGUGUGUCGCUGAUUUUUUUCGGCCUCGGCAACCUGUGUGCUGAGAACACGCUGCACAACAAGGCUCUCAUACCUAUCGGCGUCGAUGGGAUCAACGUGGACUUCCUCAUUUUCUGCAUUGUUAGUGGCAAUCAUAGCAUGACUAGUUUCCUUAGAAUCACUGGCUAAAGAGUACUCACCAUUGUCACGUAUAAGCAAGGUACGCUUGUUUGGGCUGUCCCGAAUCAUGUGCCCAUACCCUCUGCAACGAUGGCACUGAAUAUCCCAUGUACGUCCUGUUUAAGAAACGGCGCCUUUGGCAAGGGGCGCCGCUGGCUUGGCCGUCCCUGUGCGCGGUGUAGUGCUAGGCGUAGAAGGUGUAGGGUUGGAAGGAGUUGAGUUGUGUGUCGAACCCCGGCCUGCAAAAGAGUUAGUAUAUGUCUUUGAUCGUCGUCCAUGCACUUCACGUUCAACUUUGCAAGCAUAUUCAAACAAUGUGAUUAUAUCAAAAUAAUCCUUAUAAUCAAGUAUAUCCUGAAUUUCCCUGUUUAAACCACCACGAAAACGCGCCAUAGCAGCGUCAUCUGACUCAACCAAACCAGAACGAAGCAUACCCUUUUGUAACUCCUGGUAAUAUUUUUCAACAGAUUGUGAACCUUGUUGAAAACGCUGCAUUUUGUUAAGCAAAUCACGGGCAUAAUAGGAAGGAAUAAAUAUGUGGUGCAUGGCAGUUUUUAAUUGGGUCCAAGAAGUGACACUGUUAAUGGGAAGUUUUUGUUUAUACUCACGCCACCAAAUUAAAGCAAAAUCAGUUAAUUCACUAAUGGCAGCCUUCACUUGGCUAUUAGCAGGAUUAUCAUGGCAUGAAAAUUUCUGUUCUACCUCCAAUUCCCAAUCAAGAUAUGCAACAGGAUCAUAUUUACCAUUAAAAGAUGGAAUUUUAAAUUUAAUCUUAGCAAAUAAGUCAUUAGGGGGAUGAUGAACCACACGGCGUGCACGACCACGACGAUCUCCAUCGUCUUGCUCAGUGUCACCGUCGUAGUCCUGCUCUAUCUUUGUGGUCAACGCAUCAAGGCGUGCCAGGAUGGUGUCGAGUGUGGUGCGAGUCGCCGUUUGAGCAAGGUCAAGCUGGUUGAAACGCGCGGUCGUCGAAGUGACUGUUGAAUCAAGUCGUUCAUGCAUCGUCCUAAUGUUAGCAGCAAGUCCAUCAACUUGUCCCCUUAUUUCCUACAACUGGACAUACACCGUGUCGUGUUCUCCUGCCCACACCAGAGAUCGAUUACGCGGCGCACACGGACUUGAUUCGAAGCGUAACUGGGUGCCAAAUAAUGCAGAGGAGGUAUCGAAUCGAUCCAACGGUCAAUACCGAUGGCUGGGAGGUUGGGUGAAGUUGUCCACGCGGCAUGACGAGUUCAUGGCGUCGCUGCAUGACAGCGAGAAAUUCCUCGCCACCCCAUUGAUCACAGUUCCUGGCAUCGCAAUGGAAACGUCGCACAACACCUGACGAAGCACUCCAAUUUGUCUUUGCGCCCUAAACAACUGUAUGCACUAGGAACCAAUGGCGGCCCACUUCCCUAGAUCUCCUUCCCUGCCCCAUGGUGAUGGUGCUUCCUGUCUAGACCUCGAGGGUAGCUCGGGUUUGAUGGAGGGGGAAGGGGGGUACAGAACUUUGACUUAUAUGCACCACGGCGAAGUCCGUGCGGUGGAAACCGAAAGGCGAACACCGCGACGAGGGUCACAUGUGGUCUGCGCCGGUUGUUUAGGUGAGGAAGAACAGUCUGGCGAGGCAGCCCCACACGUCAGUGGCGCCAGGCGCAUAGACCGCCAAUUCGCGCAAGCAUGAGCGAAGGGACCUGUGACCGGGGCCCGCGCGUCAUAGGGACUACGGUUGGCGCGCGUGUGGUGGGUGUGUGAGGCUGAGCAGGGGUCGUGCAUAAGCGACAACGGUGAGGAAACAAGAGCGCAUGGUGAGAAGGGCAGGUCCCACCGGUUAGUGACUCGUGCGAGCGAGGGUGCAGCUGACGCAUGGGGGCCACACCGCAGAAAGAGAAGGGAUAGGAAUGAGUGGGCUGAGAGGCGGAGGGAUUUUGGCCAAGGGUUUCGGGGGCACCAAGACCCGAGCGCUAACAUAAUCACCAGGUAUGCUGGGACCAAGUCUCACACAUAUGAUGAAUCAUGGCACAGGAUCGAAUGUCACAUCUUUACUACAUAAUAGGAGUUCUAUACAAAAUAAAUAAAUAAUUACAUCAUAUGGAGACAACGAUCCAGCAACCCAAAGUUGACUGGGAGACGACGACCUAGACCUCUCACGAACUCGUCACAUCAUCCUCCAUGCGCCUCAUCCUGUGGUACCUGUUCUUGACCUAUGGGGGUGUGAGACAGCAAGUGUGAGCUCACAUACGUUCAUCACUCAACAAGUUGUGGGGAAUAAUGUGCAUGAACUCGCCAAAGGUGGGAGCUCAGGUGAAGUGUAAGGCUUAACAAAGAGGAUGGUUAGAGCUGAGCAUUGCUUUUAAAGUUGGUCAAAAUUUUAUUAGCAAUUACUAAGUAUAAGUAAACACCAACCCAAAUAAGUAGUAGACCAAAAGUAAUAACAACACCCGCAAUGCAAUGCAUAUGACAAAUUGAAUUUAGUUCCAUAAAUUAAUCAUGUGAGUGUCCGAGCUGCUCAUGACCGUGAGCACGGCUAGUAUACCAGUUUUACACUCUACAGAGGAUGCACAUCUUUAAUCACAAGUCAUGUUACCCAUGUGCCAAGGGAUCGCGACUUCCCAUACACCUCUACCGAGGAGGCGAGGCAGGGUAACACUAUGAGGCCUUUACAAAGUUCCACUAGCUUCAGAAAACCCGCUACAGUUUCUAGGAAGCUCCAAUGCAGAGACGCCUCGCCUGACCGCCAUCGUAGCAAAAUCAACCCAAGGGCCUCCCUACAGUGACCAUUCCCCAACUACCCUUGCCCCUUUUGGGUAAGGUAGUCCUCCACUAGCUUUCCUAAUUAGUCAGCCAAGGGCAUCCCAUACCACCCUUGUGGUAGCACUGUUUUCCCGGGUGGUUCUCCAUGUUCCCAUUAACAUAACGAUCUUAACAUGAACAUAAAUAACAUCUGAGUAUUAAAGUAUAAUCAUGAAUAGUGUGUAUCUCUAUACCAAAAACCACAUAAAGCAAUAGCAGGUACUACCCAAAAAUUCAGUGGUGAACAAGGUAUAAAUAUAGUCAAAGUGUAACACCCCAGGUGUUACCCAAGGCCUGGCUCCAUACAUGCACUUAUGACAUGCAUCACAUGUGUUUAAGUGGAGGAGAAGGAGCACCAAAACCUUGGAAACCAUGGGUUUAACUAAGGAGGGUUCAUGACAAAAGCAUUACCCAAACAUUUUAUGCAAUGGUCACCUUGGACAAAAGAGGAUCAAAUUCUAGACCCCCCUUAAAGACCUAGACCUCCAAGCAAGAGAUUAGUGGGAAAGCUAAUCAAAUGGCCAAUUCUUGUUUUCAACCCUUAACAAAGUUUAAGUACACUAAUGUAUCUACAAAAACAGUAUGGGAAACAUUUCAAAAAGGCCCCUUAAAGACCCCAAAUCAAUUCAUUAAGUAGAGAGCACACUAGAGCUCUCCACUUUUCUCUAAGUCCAAAAUCAACCCUUCUCUCUAAGUUCACCUAGUUAAUGGCGUCAAAACCACUUGGUCUGAGUAUCAAAAAGGAGCCAAACUACCUAAGGAAACCACUGGAAAAAUUUGAACCCGAGCCAAAACCGUUUGACAUGAUUUGACAUCCCUUUUGUCUCAGGGUGAACAGUGUGACAGCCCCGAUUUGGCGUCCGCAUAUCUUCUGAACUAGGGCGUAUCGUCCAUUGGAACUCACACAUAAGAGCUAUCCCUAGGUGCCAGGAAGAGUUCGGCGCAAGACACAUGGUAAGAUUCGCACGUUUGCGAUCUCUGCAAACGUUUGAAAAGGGGCAGAAACAAACGACCACGUGUUCGACGCGCCCUGGCAUCGCCAGAGCACGCCCCGGCGCUCGGCCCCGCGCACACCGCACUGUGCCAAGCUAAAACCGUGCCCCUGCCCGCGCUCGCACCUAUAAAGCCAAUCGAGGCUACGACCGUAGGCCCCCGCUCGCUCUCAACCUCGCCGGAGUGCAAGUUCACCGGCGUUUGCUCUGUGCACGGCGUGCCAGCGGCCACCCGAGAACCCACCACCGUAGACCAGCCAUCCUAGCCAUUCCCUGCCCCGUCCAACCCUCGAGAGUCUCCAUGUGUCUCGGUAAAGCUCCCAGAGCCAGGAAUCGAACUCUACCUCACCGGAGACACCGGAUCAACGUCGCCGGACUUCACCAGAUCGUCGGCGUACGUAGACCGAGCUCCACGGUGAGUCUUUCUUCGAUUCCUUGCACGGGUCGACUUCUUAGCACCCCGUGAAGCUCCAUGUGCCCUUGGAUUGAACCAUACCGCCGUGUGCAGGCCAGAACACACGCCGCCGAUAAGCCCGACCACCUGCGCACGUGGCCCGACCAAUUCCGGCCAUCACCGACAACGAGCUAUACCUCGACGUGACUGCAAGGACUUCCCGGAGCUAACCUCGCCCUUCGUCGGACCUCCCUCGCCGCCGGUAAGCCACGCCACCUAGUUUACUUCCGCGGUUACUGUUUAAAAGGGGGGAGGGACCUCAGGGAGGAAGGAAAAUAAGUGAGGGGUUUUUUUGAAUGGUUAGAGACUCAGAGGAAUAAUCGUGCAGGGGCAUAAGUGAGAGAGUUGGUUAAAGAAAAACCCAAGGUCCUCGGUGUAAAUUGGCUUUUCAGAAAACCUUUUAAAUAUUAUCCUUUUAAAUACAAAUAGAGCUUGUAAAAUUCAUAACUUCAGUUCUAUUCAGCCAAAUUUGGUCAAACCAAUUUUGCUAGGUUCUAAAUAAUGUGAACUACUUAGGAAAAAUAUAAAACACCCUAAAUAUUGUAGAAGAUUUUAAAGUUUUGAAUUAAACAGUAAACUGGCCAAGAACUAAAUAAAAGAAAGAAAAAUAGCUACACUGUCAGACAAGGGUUAAGAAAAAUCAGAGAGGUACUUAACCACUCCCUAAUUUGUUUAAAAAUAGUAUACCCCUCAGUACACCAAAUUAAGGAAAGGUUUACCAUUUAAACUCAUUUUUGCCCCAAGUUAGGGAAAAUAGAAAAGGUAGUUUAAAAUAAGAACCAGGGGGCAACCACAUUUUUGCUAGCUCACUUAUUCAACAUAGUUCACUGGAAAAUUUUGUUAGACCCUCUGUUAGUGCAAAAGAAAUGCAUUACUUCUUAUUUUAUGGGAAACAAUGAAAACUUAGAAAAAUCUUAGAAAACUAAUCCUGAGGGGAAACCACCCCAAACCUUGGGAUAACUCAUAAUAUGUUAUUAUGAAUCUAGGAAAAAUGUAAGUUUUGUUGUUUGACAUUUUUCAAAUAGCAAGUUAGUUAUAAGUGCCUUUUUGGCAUUAAACCUUAGAAAAUUACAACUAAAUAUCCAGUAGGCCUUUUUCUGUGAUUUUUAACACAAAGACCUAUUAUUCCCUAGGAAUCUUGGCAAAAAUAAAUGUUGACCCAGAAACCUCGCAGAAAUUAGAGCUAAAGUGUAAAGUGCCCUUUUACCCUUACUUUUGUUAAUUUUGCACAAUGAGCAUCUGAAUUAAUUUCAACCUCAAAAUUUUUAGGAUAACCCAAAGAGGUCAAUAUUUACCCACUGUAAUUUUUAUAACAUUUUUGGAAGAUGUUAACUUGCCAUGGCAAUAUAAAAGCACUCACUAAAGAAGCUUAAUUGAAAGUAAAAUAAGGAAAGUGGGGAGAAUAGUGGAAUGCAACCUUAAAUCUUCCAAGAGCUAAAGCCCUAAGAGUACCACUAAAUUUAGUAUUGUUCUACCAUGCAUAACCUUUACCAAUUUACCAUGACAUUAAUAUGCAUCUAUCUUAUUCAUUGCAUUUGAUAGACUGUAAUCUCGCUGACGGGGAGUACAUCCUCAUUCCGGAGCAAGGAGUUGCUAAGGAGGUAGUCCAGGAGCCAGCACCAGAGUCUGCCAUCGAGGAUCUGCCUGCCUUAGCUUUGGAAGGCAAGCCCCGGUUUUAUGCAUGACCUACUAUUAUGCUAUUUUACUACACUUAAUGUUUGUAGGUUUGUAAUGUGCACUUAAGUGUAGGAGUUGUUUGGAACCUUAGUUGCAUGAACUCAGGUUUUUCCCUUGUGAUGGAUACAAGUAUGCUAGGUCGAGUAGCUGCUUUACUAAUUAGGGAUCUCGGUAGAAGUCGAGUGAUUUUUCUAGCACUCGCGCGAGGUCAGGAAUUGGUUGUAUCCAUUUUCAUAUCGUUAUGAUGUUGGUCUGUGGACAACAAUCUAUGGGGAUUGGUUGUCUACGAGACGGAAAUUGAAAUAAGGAUUAAGGUGUGGUACCGUGCGUCAAGCGUUUGAACGUACUAAACAUAUGCCAAGAAAUAUGGUAAAUCAGUAAGCCUAGUACCUGACGGAACCUGCCCGCAGAUUGCCCUCCUCACGCGACCUGAGACGUGGUCUCCCAUUCCGGUUAUGGUGGGUACAAGUGUGGUCACUGCACGACGGAAGUCGGGGUCAGUGAGGCUGAUGAGGACAUCACUAUGAGUACUACUACACCAGCAGCACCUCCACAUCAAGCGCCACUUCCUUCAUUAGCUGGGCCAAUCACUCGGGCCCGUGCUAGAGAUCUUAACUUCGUCAUGCUACUGAAGAAUGAGGGCCCAGAAGAAUAGACGACCAGCCCAACUGCGGCCCAUAGUGAACGACCUAGGGUUGGCCGCCCUAGGGGCUGCGCCCCCUCUAUUUAUGCAGGAGCUGCGCCUCCUUUAUUUUCGAGUUUUGUUUUACGAUAGCCUUAGCUACUCUCGAACACGCGCAAAUCUGCGCUGUCUUCGUGUAUUCAGAACUCCACCCUCGAGUAAUAGAUUAGAUUGCUCGCAUCCUUUUCUUGUUCGUUCUUCGAUUGCGCACAGGAAACGAUCUUCGUGAUCAGGCCGAUCUCGCAUCAGCAAGGUCGGCAACCACAUGGAGUUCGUUUAGCGAUUACAUUGGCGCCUCGGGCUUGCUCGUCGUAGUCGGAUCACAAGGGUCAUCUUCCGCCAAAUCGGAAUUAUCUCUACUCGCCGAAAGAUCGGGCACCUCAGCUACAUCAAUUGGUAUCAGAUUUCCAGGUUGAUCGGUGAGUUUAUCGAGCGUUUUUUCCUACAGUCCACAAAACCACAUAAAAAUUCAGGUUAGAUCUUAUCCCAGCACCCUUUUGAGCCUCGCACUUUCUUUCAAUAAUCUGCAUUGUUGAAUUUGUGUGCUUUCGCGUCAUUUGUUGCUGGUUGCAUUGUGUUCUUCCACCAUUCAAACCCCGCUGCCACCAUCUCCCGUUUGAUCACGCCACAAACCGAGUCAACAUCGUUUCCUUGUUUUUCUCCUUCGGUUACGAAAAAACAGAAGAAAAACAAACCGAGUCAACGACCGCUUCCUUGUUUUUCUCCUUCGGUUACUCAAAAAAAACAGAAACAAAAAAAAGAAAACGAAGGAGAAAGGAUACGGUUGUUUCAUCCCGGUCGUUUUUAAAACAUAACUUGAGGUACCUUCCGUAAAACGGGCAUAACUUUUCGCUCGGUUGUCCAAAAAAAUCUGAAAUUUUUACAGGAGCUAGUUGACACCAUUCUGAGGCCGGCCAAACUCACCUACGGUCUGUUUGGGGUUCGACAAAAUUGUCAAAAAAAUUCAGGAAAAUAAAGAAAAAAAAUUCAUCAAAGUUCUCGCACGCUUUUCAGAGAACUUCCUGAUUUUCUAUAGACCACAUCUGAUUUCUGUUUUAGGUGAAACUUCGUGUAGCUCCUAUUUUGUUGCUUCUUGUGCUGAGAAAAAUAUCAAAAAAAUCAUACAAAAAAGAAAAACAAAAUCACUUGUGAUUCCUACUAGUGGCCUCGCUAGUACAAUAUUUACGGUACUGCCAUUCUGCUAGUUCCAUCCGUCCUUUGCACUUGUGGCUAGCAAUAUAGUUUCGUGUUUUGCACUAUAAUUCAACUUUGCAUUAUUGUUUGAUCGUGCUAAUCCUUGACUUGAGUGCAGCCUACCCAGAACUCCACAUAUUUCUACGACGAGAAGGUUUCUGUUUCUCCAGGCAAUCGCUCAUCCAAUCUUUCACCGGUUCCACCUGUUGGUUGCAGUUCACCACUGUGGCUUGGUAAGAACGGAUAAGAACUUGAUAACAGCACUAGUGUGAGCGCCUUGUGAGCAGUACACCCCUGUUUUUGUCGUUGUUUUUUCUCUUCUUUUGGUGUUCUGGUGUUUGCACUAACUAUGGCAGGAGCACACGACACGGUGGAUGCCCAGUUGCUGGAAGUAAGGGGACAAGUUGAUGGACUUGCUGCUGACAUUAGGACGAUGCAUGAACGGCUUGAUUCAACGGUCACUUCGACGACCGAGCGUUUCAACCAGCUUGACCUUGCUCAAACGGCGACUCGCACCACACUCGACACCAUCCUGGCACGCCUUGAUGCGUUGACCACAAAGAUGGAGCAGGAAUACGGCGGUGACACUGAGCAGGACGAUGGAGAUCGCCGUGGUCGUGCACGUCGUGUGGUUCGUCAUCCCCCUAAUGACUUAUUUUCUAAGAUUAAAUUUAAAAUUCCAUCUUUUAAUGGUAAAUAUGAUCCUGCUGCAUAUCUUGAUUGGGAAUUGGAGGUAGAACAGAAAUUUUCAUGCCAUGAUAUUCCUGCUAAUAGCCAAGUGAAGGCUGCCAUUAGUGAAUUUACUGAUUUUGCUUUAAUUUGGUGGCGUGAGUAUAAACAAAAACUUCCCAUUAACAGUGUCAUUACUUGGACCCAAUUAAAAACUGCCAUGCGCCACAGAUUUGUUCCUUCCUAUUAUGCUCGUGAUUUGCUUAACAAAAUGUAGCGUUUUCAACAAGGUUCACUAUCUGUUGAGGAAUAUUACCAGGAGUUACAAAAGGGUAUGCUUCGUUGUGGUUUGGUUGAGUCAGAUGACGCUGCUAUGGCGCGUCUUCGUGGUGGUUUGAAUAGGGAAAUUCAGGAUAUACUUGAUUAUAAGGAUUAUUUUGAUAUAACUACAUUGUUUGAAUAUGCUUGCAAAGCUGAACGUGAAGUGCAGGGACGACGAUCAAAGACAUAUACUAACUCUUUUGCAGGUCGUGGUCCAACACACAGCUCAACUCCUUCCAGCCCUGCACCUUCUACGCCUAGCACUACAUCGCGCACAGGGACGACCAAGCCAGUGGCGCCCCCUGCCAAAGGCGCCGCUUCUUCCACAGGACGUACACGGGAUAUUCAGUGCCAUCGUUGCAGAGGGUUUGGGCACAUGAUCCGAGACUGCCCAAACAAGCGUACCUUGCUUAUACGUGACAAUGGUGAGUACUCUUCAGCCAGUGAUUUUGAGGAAACUAGUCAUGCUAUGAUUGCCACUAACCAUGCAGAAAAUGAGGAAGUCCACGUUGAUCCCAUCGACGCCGAUAGGUAUGAGAGUCUUGUUGUGCAGCGUGUUCUCAGCACACAGGUUGCCCAGGCCGAAAAAAAUCAGCGACACACUCUAUUCCAUACCAAGGGCGUCGUGCACGAACGGUCGAUUCGCAUCAUCAUCGUUAGUGGCAGCUGCAACAAUUUGGCAAGUACAGCGUUGGUAGAGAAAUUAUCCUUGCCCACUCGCACACAUCCACAUCCGUAUCACAUUCAAUGGCUUAAUGAUGGUGGUAAAAUAAAGGUAACACGUUCGGUACGUGUCCCCUUUUCGCUGGGUUCUUAUUCUGAUUAUGCUGAUUGCGAUGUUAUUCCUAUGGAAGCAUGCUCUUUGUUAUUAGGUCGACCUUGGCAAUAUGAUACUGAUAGUUUACAUCAUGGUCGUUCAAAUCAUUAUUCUUUCAUGUUUAAAGGCCAGAAAAUAAUUAUACAUCCAAUGACCCCUGACCAAAUUUUGAAAGAUGAUCUUACUAGGGCUGCUAAAACUGCACAACAAGUCAAAUCGACAUCAGCCGCACCUAUUAAAUCUGAAAUCAAGUUGCACUCUCCUGUUUUACUUGCUACACAUGCUGAUUUUGAUGAUCUCCAUGAAGCUCAUAUGCCCUGUUAUGCACUUGUAUGCUCGCGCAUGCUUGUUCCGCUUGAUGAUGCACCGUCUUUGGAUAUACCCCCUGCUGUUGUUAACCUUUUGCAGGAGUAUGCUGAUGUUUAUCCUACGGAUUUACCACUGGGUCUUCCUCCCCUCCGUGGCAUUGAGCAUCAGAUCGAUCUCAUCCCCGGCGCUUCUCUUCCGAACCGCGCCCCGUACCGUACAAAUCUAGAGGAGACGAAGGAGAUCCAGCGCCAGGUGCAGACGCUGCUUGAUAAGGGUUACAUUCGUGAGUCUCUUAGCCCUUGCUCGGUUCCUGUUUUACUCGUUCCAAAGAAAGAUGGGUCAUGGCGAAUGUGCGUAGAUUGUCGUGCUAUUAAUAACAUCACAGUUCGUUAUCGAUAUCCUAUUCCACGCCUUGAUGAUAUGUUAGAUGAGCUUAGUGGUGCCGUUAUUUUCUCUAAGGUUGAUUUGCGUAGCGGUUACCAUCAGAUUAGAAUGAAACUCGGUGAUGAAUGGAAAACGGCUUUUAAAACGAAAUUUGGUUUAUAUGAAUGGUUGGUUAUGCUAUUUGGAUUGACUAAUGCUCCCAGCACCUUUAUGCGUUUAAUGAACGAAGUUCUAUGGGCCUUCAUAGGUUUGUUUGUUGUUGUUUAUGUCGAUGAUAUCCUUAUUUACAGCAAGUCUAUAGAGGAGCAUUUAGAACAUUUGCGUGUUGUUUUUGAUGCUUUGCGUGCUGCUCGCUUGUUUGGUAACAUGGAAAAGUGCACAUUUUGCACGCAACGUGUCUCGUUUCUUGGUUAUGUGGUUACUCCGCAGGGCAUUGAGGUGGAUAGCAGCAAGAUUGCUGCCAUUCGGGAGUGGCCUACACCAACGACGGUCACACAAAUUCGGAGCUUUCUUGGACUUGCCGGUUUCUACCGCAGAUUUGUUCGUGAUUUUAGCUCCAUCGCAGCGCCUCUACAUGAGCUUACAAAGAAAGAUGUGCCAUUUGCUUGGAGUGAUUCGCAGGAGGUAGCGUUCAGCACUUUGAAAGAUAAGUUAACCCAAGCUCCCCUCUUGCAAUUGCCUGAUUUUAAUAAAGUUUUUGAGCUUGAAUGCGAUGCUAGCGGUAUUGGACUAGGUGCUGUUUUGUUACAAGAAGGAAAACCAGUUGCUUAUUUUAGUGAAAAAUUAAGCGGUGCUAGUCUGAAAUAUUCUACUUAUGAUAAGGAGCUUUACGCUUUAGUGCGCACUUUGCAUACAUGGCAGCACUAUCUUUGGCAUCGUGAGUUCAUAAUUCAUUCUGAUCAUGAGGCUUUAAAACAUAUUCGUACCCAAACAAAUCUGAACCGUCGUCAUGCUAAAUGGGUCGAAUUCAUUGAGUCCUUUCCUUACAUUAUUAAACACAAGAACGGGAAGGACAAUGUUAUUGCUGAUGCUUUGUCUCGUCGCUAUACCAUGCUGUCACAAUUAGAUUUUAAAAUCUUUGGUUUGGACACUGUGAAGGAUCAAUAUGUUGACGAUGCUGAUUUUAAAGAUGCUUUCGGCCAUUGUAUUAAUGGGAUACCAUGGGGCAAAUUUCACAUACAGGAUGGGUUCCUGUUUCGCGCUAACAAGCUGUGUGUUCCAGCUAGUUCGGUUCGUCUUUUGUUGUUACAGGAGGCGCAUGGAGGCGGUCUCAUGGGGCAUUUUGGCGUCUACAAAACGCAUGAGGUGUUGGCUGCCCACUUCUUUUGGCCUCGGAUGCGCGCUGAUGUUGAGCGCCUUGUUGCACGCUGCACUACUUGUCAGAAAGCUAAGUCACGGUUGAACAACCAUGGUUUGUAUAUGCCUUUGCCUGUCCCUUCUACUCCUUGGCUUGAUAUCUCUAUGGACUUUGUUUUGGGCUUGCCUAGAACUAAGAAGGGGAGGGAUAGUAUUUUUGUGGUUGUUGAUAGAUUCUCUAAAAUGGCUCACUUUAUACCUUGUCAUAAAACUGAUGAUGCUAGCAUUGUUGCUGAAUUGUUCUUUAGAGAAACUAUUCGUUUACAUGGUAUUCCAAAAACAAUAGUCUCUGAUCGCGAUGCUAAGUUUCUAAGCCAUUUUUGGAGAUCUCUUUGGAAUAAAUUGGGAACUAAAUUGUUGUUUAGCACUACUUGUCACCCUCAGACUGAUGGACAAACUGAGGUAGUAAAUAGAACUUUAUCUACCAUGCUUAGGGCUGUUUUAGACAAGAAUUUGAGACGUUGGGAGGAUUGCUUGCCUCAUGUUGAAUUUGCUUACAAUCAUGCCACACAUUCUUCUACAAAGAUGUGCCCUUUCCAGAUUGUUUAUGGUUACAUCCCUAGGGCACCUAUUGAUUUGAUUUCACUUAAUGCUACGAACGCCCCACAUAUAGAUGCUGCUGCACAUGUUGAACAAAUGAUUACCAUACAUGAACAAACGAAACAGAACAUUGCUGCUACUAAUGCAAAAAAUCAGGUUGCUGGUAGUAAAGGAAGAAAACAUGUUACUUUUGAGCCAGGUGAUAUGGUUUGGUUGCACUUGAGAAAGGAUCGGUUUCCUACUUUGCGCCGUUCUAAAUUAAUGCCUCGUGCUGCUGGUCCUUUUAAGGUGCUAACAAAGAUUAAUGAUAAUGCUUAUAUCCUUGACCUGCCUGCGGAAUUUGGUGUUUCCACUAGUUUUAAUGUUGCAGAUUUGAAACCAUAUAUGGCCGAGGAUGAGGAGUUGUCGUCGAGGACGACUUCACUUCAAGAAGGGGAGGAUGAUGAGGACAUCACUAUGAGUACGACUACACCAGCAGCACCUCCACAUCAAGCGCCACUUCCUUCAUUAGCUGGGCCAAUCACUCGGGCCCGUGCCAGAGAUCUUAACUUCGUCAUGCUACUGAAGAAUGAGGGC